This 434-nucleotide ribosomal RNA is filed under the name uncultured bacterium. Its description in RNAcentral is "partial 16S ribosomal RNA". It matches the Rfam family "Bacterial small subunit ribosomal RNA", at positions 29 to 507 of the family's 1533-position model. The record is from RNAcentral.
AGCGAACGCUGGCGGCAGGCCUAACACAUGCAAGUCGAACGAACCUUUCGGGGUUAGUGGCGGACGGGUGAGUAACACGUGGGAACGUUCCUUUAGGUUCGGAAUAACUCAGGUAAACUUGUGCUAAUACCGAAUGUGCCCUUCGGGGAAAAGAUUCAUCGACGUUAGAACGGCCCGCGUCGGUUUAGCUAGUUGGUUGGGGUAAUGGCUAACGAAGGCGACGAUCAUUAGCUGGUCUGAGAGGAUGAGCAGCCACAUUGGGACUGAGACACAGCCGAAACUCCUACGGGAUGCAGCAGUGGGGAAUCUUGCGCAACGGGCGAAAGCCUGACGCAGCCAGGCCGCGUGAAUGAUGAAGGUCUUAGGAUAGUAAAAUUCUUUCAUCGGGGACGAUAAUGACGGUACCCGGAGAAGAAGCCCCGGCUAACUUCGUG